GAGCUUUGACAAAAACUUAAUUUUCUACUCAGUCGUCUUGUUGUAUUUCAUUCCAGGUUUGAACAAUGCUAACUUUAAAAAAAAAAAAAAAAAAAAAGAGCAAAGGGAAUAAGAAGAAUAGCACUUUCUUCUAGUGAAAAUAUUAAUACUACAACCAGAAGAAGGAUGUGCAAUCCUCAUAAACCACACAAACAUUUGGAAAGAACAAAACCAACUUUGGCUUCAUGAAAUAACCUGUCAGAGAAGAGGCAGCAAAGGCUACAUUUUGUAAAUGCCAGCUGUUAGCUGCUCCGUGCCGGCUGCCCAGAGCCUCGUGUUUAGGACGACCUUCAGACAAGCGUCGCCACCCCACCUACACAUGUAACAGUGCCAGCUCUUUCACGCACUCUUACAGCUGUAUUUUUAUGAAUCCUCCCUGAGAAGGAGAGGGAAGAGCUGAUGAUGAAAGGGUAAAGCUUGCUCCUCGUGACCUGCAGUGAGUGGAAAACAAGGCAGCACUCGCCUAUGUUGCUGUAGAUCAAAUAACUGUAUGGUGUUAUGGGUCUUCAGAUGUUGUGCAAAGUGACUCCAAUAGCAACAGUUCUGCAGUAUGUGAAACACUUGUUAUUACAUCAGCGAUGAUACUGAAGAAAUAACAACACUCAGCAGGGUAAAAAGCUGUGUCAAUAGAUACAAUUUCAGUAGGUUCACAAAAGUGAUUUGGAACAUGCAACAGCAGGAGACCACAGACAGCCACCUUGGGGAACUACUGCCUAGUGUAUACCAGAGCACAUGCAACACCCAACGUCUUCUAAUUAAAAAUAAAAAAUAAAAAAAAGACAGGGUAAGCUUUUUAUUCUGGAUAGCUAUGUGUGAAACGUUCUGUGUGUGUAUACAUCUGUGCAUAUACAUAUAUGUAUGUAGAUAGAUAGAUGAA
Molecule: long non-coding RNA, 916 nt
Filed under: Struthio camelus australis
Lineage: Eukaryota; Metazoa; Chordata; Aves; Struthioniformes; Struthionidae
Description: lncRNA (ENSSCUG00000009944.1)
Source: RNAcentral